RNAcentral lists this ribosomal RNA (284 nucleotides) under Luminiphilus sp. RNAcentral describes it as "partial 23S ribosomal RNA". It matches the Rfam family "Bacterial large subunit ribosomal RNA", at positions 2641 to 2925 of the family's 2925-position model. The record is from RNAcentral. Lineage: Bacteria; Pseudomonadati; Pseudomonadota; Gammaproteobacteria; Cellvibrionales; Halieaceae.
UCUGCCGUGGGCGCAGGAAAUUUGAGAAGAGUUGCUCCUAGUACGAGAGGACCGGAGUGAACGAACCUCUGGUGUUCGGGUUGUUACGCCAGUAGCAUUGCCCGGUAGCUAUGUUCGGACAGGAUAACCGCUGAAAGCAUCUAAGCGGGAAGCCCCCUUCGAGACGAGAUUUCCCUUAGGACUUGAUCCUACUAAAGUGCCGUUCAAGACGAGGACGUUGAUAGGCUGGGUGNNNNNNNNNNCCAUAUAAUCAUGGGUUCUGACUGAACAUAAGUUCAGUUCAU